AGUUCGGAUCGCAGUCUGCAACUCGACUACAUGAAGCUGGAAUCGCUAGUAAUCGCGGAUCAGAAUGCCGCGGUGAAUACGUUCCCGGGUCUUGUACACACCGCCCGUCACACCAUGGGAGUCAGUAACGCCCGAAGCCGGUGACCUAACCGAAAGGGAGGAGCCGUCGAAGGUGGGACCGAUAACUGGGGUGAAGUCGUAACAAGGUAUC
RNAcentral lists this ribosomal RNA (211 nucleotides) under uncultured bacterium. RNAcentral's name for it is "partial 16S ribosomal RNA". It matches the Rfam family "Bacterial small subunit ribosomal RNA", at positions 1290 to 1500 of the family's 1533-position model. The record is from RNAcentral.